This 253-nucleotide ribosomal RNA is filed under the name uncultured bacterium. Its description in RNAcentral is "partial 16S ribosomal RNA". It matches the Rfam family "Bacterial small subunit ribosomal RNA", at positions 524 to 776 of the family's 1533-position model. The record is from RNAcentral.
UACGUAGGGUGCAAGCGUUGUCCGGAAUUAUUGGUCGUAAAGAGCUCGUAGGCGGCUUGUCACGUCGGAUGUGAAAAUCCAGGGCUCAACCCUGGACCUGCAUUCGAUACGGGCAGGCUAGAAUUCGGUAGGGGAGACUGGAAUUCCUGGUGUAGCGGUGAAAUGCGCAGAUAUCAGGAGGAACACCGGUGGCGAAGGCGGGUCUCUGGGCCGUAACUGACGCUGAGGAGCGAAAGCAUGGGGAGCGAACAGG